RNAcentral lists this ribosomal RNA (253 nucleotides) under uncultured bacterium. RNAcentral's name for it is "partial 16S ribosomal RNA". It matches the Rfam family "Bacterial small subunit ribosomal RNA", at positions 524 to 776 of the family's 1533-position model. The record is from RNAcentral.
UACGUAGGGACCAAGCGUUGUUCGGAUUUACUGGGCGUAAAGGGUGCGUAGGCGGGUUUUUAAGUCAGGGGUGAAAUCCUGGAGCUCAACUCCAGAACUGCCUUUGAUACUGAAGAUCUUGAGUCCGGGAGAGGUGAGUGGAACUGCGAGUGUAGAGGUGAAAUUCGUAGAUAUUCGCAAGAACACCAGUGGCGAAGGCGGCUCACUGGCCCGGUACUGACGCUGAGGCACGAAAGCGUGGGGAGCAAACAGG